Molecule: ribosomal RNA, 253 nt
Filed under: uncultured bacterium
Lineage: Bacteria
Description: partial 16S ribosomal RNA
Rfam family: Bacterial small subunit ribosomal RNA
Source: RNAcentral
UACGUAGGGUCCGAGCGUUGUCCGGAAUUAUUGGGCGUAAAGAGCUCGUAGGCGGUUUGUCGCGUCUGCUGUGAAAUCCCGAGGCUCAACCUCGGGUCUGCAGUGGGUACGGGCAGACUGGAGUGCGGUAGGGGAGAAUGGAAUUCCUGGUGUAGCGGUGGAAUGCGCAGAUAUCAGGAGGAACACCGAUGGCGAAGGCAGGUCUCUGGGCCACUACUGACGCUGAGAAGCGAAAGCGUGGGGAGCGAACAGG